ACAAGAAGCAGAGGACUCUCUGUUGCUGGUUUUACUAGUCCAGCCAAUAGAGCAUGAACUUGUUCAAGUACGUACAAUUGGAGCUUGGGAGUCGACAAAUUUCUUCAGAAAUUGGACACUCAACUUAACAUUCUUAAUCGGCGCUAAUCAUGGCAGCAUCGCUUUGUAACUCGCCUUUGGCGAAGCAUUACCCCGCCAUACCUUUUGUUUCUAAUACGUCGAUUAGACAGAAAUGCUCUUGCCAAAAAAGCCUAUCAGAUUCCCCUUUUCUUGGUUCAGAGCAACUUCGAAUGUUGGUUUCCAGGACCAAAGCGUCGACUAAGGGGAGCAGUAGCAAUAGAGUGCGGUAUGUGCGUGUGGUGGCUUCGCUGGGAGGUUUAUUAGGCGGGAUUUUUAAAGGUUCCGAUACUGGAGAGUCGACCAGGCAACAGUAUGCUGCAACUGUUAGCACCAUUAAUGGAUUGGAAGCGAAGAUGUCUGCAUUGUCGGAUUCGGAACUGAGGGAGAAGACUUUUGUAUUGAGAGAACGGGCACAACAGGGCGAAACUUUGGAUUCUCUCCUUCCUGAGGCAUUUGCUGUUGUGAGAGAGGCUUCAAAGAGGGUUCUGGGCCUUCGACCCUUUGAUGUCCAACUGAUAGGUGGCAUGGUUCUUCAUAAGGGAGAAAUAGCUGAAAUGAGAACUGGAGAAGGGAAGACACUGGUUGCUAUUUUGCCAGCUUAUUUAAAUGCUUUAAGUGGAAAUGGCGUUCAUGUUGUUACUGUCAAUGAUUAUCUGGCUCGACGGGAUUGUGAGUGGGUUGGCCAAGUUCCUCGCUUUCUUGGAUUGAAGGUUGGCCUCAUCCAGCAGAAUAUGACUAGCGAGCAAAGGAAGGAAAAUUACUUAUGUGACAUAACUUAUGUGACGAAUAGCGAGCUUGGUUUUGAUUAUUUAAGGGACAACCUUGCCACGAAUGUAGAGGAGCUUGUCUUAAGGGGCUUUAAUUACUGUAUCAUUGAUGAGGUUGAUUCUAUUCUCAUUGACGAAGCUAGAACUCCUCUCAUUAUAUCAGGACCUGCAGAGAAACCCAGUGAUCGAUAUUAUAAGGCUGCAAAAAUAGCAGCAGCCUUUGAACAAGAUAUACAUUACACUGUGGACGAGAAACAAAAAACUGUGUUACUCACUGAACAGGGUUAUGAAGAUGCUGAAGAAAUUUUAGGUGUUAAAGAUUUAUAUGAUCCUCGAGAACAGUGGGCUUUGUAUAUCCUAAAUGCAAUAAAAGCCAAAGAACUGUUUCUUCGAGAUGUAAACUACAUAAUUCGUGGAAAAGAGGUUCUAAUUGUGGAUGAGUUUACUGGUCGAGUUAUGCAGGGUAGAAGGUGGAGUGACGGACUUCACCAAGCAGUUGAAGCAAAAGAAGGGCUGCCCAUUCAAAAUGAAACUGUGACAUUGGCUUCAAUUAGUUACCAGAAUUUCUUUCUGCAGUUCCCAAAACUGUGUGGAAUGACUGGUACAGCAGCAACCGAGAGCACAGAAUUUGAGAGCAUUUACAAGCUUAAGGUUACAAUUGUGCCAACUAAUAAGCCUAUGAUAAGAAAGGAUGAAUCUGAUGUUGUUUUUAGGGCAACAAAUGGUAAAUGGCGUGCUGUUGUUGUGGAGAUUUCUAGAAUGCACAAAACUGGUCGUCCAGUACUUGUUGGCACCACCAGUGUUGAACAGAGCGAUUCUUUGUCUGAACAAUUAAAAGAAGCUGGAAUUCCACAUGAGGUUCUUAAUGCAAAACCAGAAAAUGUCGAGAGAGAAGCAGAAAUUGUAGCACAGAGUGGUCGUCUUGAGGCUGUGACAAUUGCUACCAAUAUGGCUGGUCGUGGGACAGAUAUAAUUCUUGGUGGUAAUGCUGAAUUUAUGGCAAGAUUAAAGCUACGUGAGAUGCUAAUGCCACGAGUUGUCAAGCCAGCUGAAGGAGUCUUUGUAUCAGUAAAGAAACCUCCUCCCAUGAAGACAUGGAAGGUGAACGAGAAGUUGUUCCCAUGCAAACUAUCAGAUGAAAAUACCAAGUUGGCCGAGGAGUCUGUGCAAUUAGCUGUUAAAACAUGGGGUCAGAGAUCAUUGACAGAGCUUGAAGCAGAGGAGCGCCUAUCAUGUUCUUGUGAAAAGGGUCCUGCUCAGGAUGAAGUCAUAGCUAAGCUGCGGGCUGCUUUUCUGGAAGUUGUUAAAGAAUACAAGGUCUACACUGAGGAAGAGAGGAAGCAGGUUGUGGCAGCUGGUGGACUGCAUGUAGUGGGCACAGAGCGCCACGAAUCACGGCGUAUUGAUAAUCAGCUGCGUGGCCGAAGUGGGAGACAAGGAGAUCCAGGAAGCUCACGCUUUUUCCUGAGUCUUGAAGAUAACAUUUUUCGGAUAUUUGGUGGUGACCGAAUUCAGGGUUUAAUGCGAGCUUUCAGAGUUGAAGACCUGCCUAUUGAGUCCAAGAUGCUGACCAAAGCAUUGGAUGAAGCUCAAAGGAAAGUGGAGAACUAUUUCUUUGAUAUUCGGAAGCAAUUGUUUGAGUAUGAUGAAGUCCUUAACAGCCAAAGAGACCGUGUUUAUACCGAAAGAAGGCGAGCCCUUCAAUCCGAGGAUCUCCAAUCUCUUAUUAUUGAAUAUGCAGAACUGACGAUGGAUGACAUUUUAGAGGCCAACGUUGGUUCCGAUGCUCCAAAAGAGAGCUGGGAUCUUGAGAAACUCAUUGCCAAGAUUCAGCAAUUACUAACGGAGAUAAAUAUUCAGAUAUUGCUACCUGCUAAAUGAUCUGAGCCCUGAUUUGCUAACAAGCAACUGUUCAGAUUAUGAGGAACUACAGAAUUAUCUGCGACUUCGCGGCCGUGAAGCCUAUUUGCAGAAAAGGGAAAUUGUGGAGGAACAAGCACCCGGGCUGAUGAAAGAAGCUGAGCGUUUCCUUAUAUUGAGCAACAUUGAUCGCUUGUGGAAGGAACACUUGCAAGCACUUAAAUUUGUGCAGCAAGCUGUAGGUUUACGUGGAUAUGCGCAACGGGAUCCACUCAUUGAGUAUAAGCUUGAGGGUUACAACCUUUUCUUGGAGAUGAUGGCGCAGAUAAGAAGGAACGUUAUAUAUUCUAUAUACCAGUUCCAACCAGUGCUGAUCAAGCAAGAUCAGGAAAAAAUGGAGAAAGAAAAAUCAGGUAAACCUAAAGCACGCAGCCGGGGAAAUACUAACCCUGAUCCAGUAAGCACCGCAUAGCCUUCGACAGCGGGGCAGUUCCUAUGCGAACGGAAGACAUGCAUCCAGAUCCGGGGUUUCCAUUGAGGCGUCUAAUGGACUGGAACUACUUGUGAAGCUCUUUGAAGCUUGUUACUGUGAAGUAGAUUUCUGAUAGCUAGGCUGGUCGAACAUUGAAUGUAAAGUUUGCACAAAGGCACCUCACAAAAUAGCAUAUAAAGAGAUUAUAAAAAUGCUUAAAAAUGGAGUCCGUUUUGGGGCCCAUCUCAAUAUACAAAGCUUUCUGCCAUUUAA
This is an RNA transcript of Neltuma alba, 3492 nucleotides long. It is a transcript of the gene named protein translocase subunit SecA, chloroplastic, with no coding region annotated. The transcript is spliced from 20 exons. Lineage: Eukaryota; Viridiplantae; Streptophyta; Magnoliopsida; Fabales; Fabaceae. The record is from RefSeq and is a predicted model, not a curated record.